This 633-nucleotide ribosomal RNA is filed under the name Clavariadelphus sachalinensis. RNAcentral's name for it is "eukaryotic LSU rRNA". The stretch from base 245 to 399 matches the Rfam family "5.8S ribosomal RNA". Lineage: Eukaryota; Fungi; Basidiomycota; Agaricomycetes; Gomphales; Clavariadelphaceae. The record is from RNAcentral.
UUCCGUAGGUGAACCUGCGGAAGGAUCAUUACAGUAUGUUCAGGGGGGCUGCUGCUGGCUCCUUCUCGGAGCAUGUGCGCGCCCCUCGCCUUCAUCCAUUACACACCUGUGCACCACGAGCGAAGCCUCCCGUCUGGAGCCGUCUCGCGUUUCGUUACGCGAGGCUGGGGCCUCGUUCUUUUCUCAUACAACUACAGCCUGUCUUUAACGCAUGUUUAAUGUUCUACGGAACGAUAUAAAAUACAACUUUCAACAACGGAUCUCUUGGCUUUCGCAUCGAUGAAGAACGCCGCGAAAGUGCGAAACGUAAUGUGAAUUGCAGAAUUCAGUGAAUCAUCGAAUCUUUGAACGCAUCUUGCGCUCCUUGGUAUUCCGAGGAGCACGCCUGUUUGAGUGUCGUGAACUCUCUCAACCUUUGUUUCCUUUUGGGGACUGGGUUGGAUUUGGACGCCUGCCGCGAGUUCUGCUCGCCGGCUCGUCUUGAAAUGCAUCAGCUGGUCCGCCGCAUGAGCUCGGUUCAACAACGGUGUGAUAAGAAACGCUUCGUGUCUGUAGCGCCGUUUUCGCCGACUCUAGGAGGGCUGCUUCCAACCGUCUUCGGACAAUUACAUUCAUGUCAUCUGACCUCAAAUC